This 179-nucleotide non-coding RNA is filed under the name Acetivibrio thermocellus. RNAcentral's name for it is "Clostridium thermocellum GlcN6P sequence". It matches the Rfam family "glmS glucosamine-6-phosphate activated ribozyme aptamer". From Rfam's summary of the family: This entry contains a glucosamine-6-phosphate activated ribozyme that is found in the mRNA for GlmS. Lineage: Bacteria; Bacillati; Bacillota; Clostridia; Acetivibrionales; Acetivibrionaceae. RNAcentral also lists the same sequence under 1 other name. The record is from RNAcentral.
UUUAUAGAAAAAGCGCCAGCACGUGUUUUAACCACGUGGACGAGGAGAAGGAGGUCACCGGUAAUUUUUCAAUCGGUGAGUUAUCGAGUUUUCGGCGGAAACCUUCCGGUUGUCACGACCGUCAGGGUCCUACAAAGACUCGCAGGCAACUGCGGUACAAAAGGGAUCUGAGUGAAUUU